RNAcentral lists this long non-coding RNA (209 nucleotides) under Mytilus galloprovincialis (Mediterranean mussel). Lineage: Eukaryota; Metazoa; Mollusca; Bivalvia; Mytilida; Mytilidae. The record is from RNAcentral.
UUUUAAAAAAUAAGCCAAAAACUGCAUUUUACCCCUAUGUUCUAUUUUUAGCCAUGGCGGCAAUGUUUUUUGACGAAACAGAAAAUAAAACAUAACCUUUAUUAUACAUACCAUAAGGAUCAUUCAGCUUAAGUUUGGUUGGAAUUGGUUCAGUAGUUUCAGAGGAGAAGAUGUUUGAAAUAGUUUACACCAGACGGACGAAGACGACG